AUUGAACGCUGGCGGCAGGCCUAACACAUGCAAGUCGAGCGGAUGAAGGGAGCUUGCUCCUGGAUUCAGCGGCGGACGGGUGAGUAAUGCCUAGGAAUCUGCCUGGUAGUGGGGGAUAACGUCCGGACACGGGCGCUAAUACCGCAUACGUCCUGAUGGAGGAAGUGGGGGAUCUUCGGACCUCACGCUAUCAGAUGAGCCUAGGUCGGAUUAGCUAGUUGGUGGGGUAAAGGCCUACCAAGGCGACGAUCCGUAACUGGUCUGAGUGGAUGAUCAGUCACACUGGAACUGAGACACGGUCCAGACUCCUACGGCAGGCAGCAGUGGGGAAUAUUGGACAAUGGGCGAAAGCCUGAUCCAGCCAUGCCGCGUGUGUGAAGAAGGUCUUCGGAUUGUAAAGCACUUUAAGUUGGGAGGAAGGGCAGUAAGUUAAUACCUUGCUGUUUUGACGUUACCAACAGAAUAAGCACCGGCUAACUUCGUG
This 484-nucleotide ribosomal RNA is filed under the name uncultured bacterium. RNAcentral's name for it is "partial 16S ribosomal RNA". It matches the Rfam family "Bacterial small subunit ribosomal RNA", at positions 30 to 507 of the family's 1533-position model. The record is from RNAcentral.